AGAACUAAAGUGCAUGCUUGGUUGAUAUUAUUUAAAUUUUUUAUGUUGAGAGUAUUUGCACUACAGCAAAUCUUGCACUUAAUAACAGUUUAAACAAUAACUAGCAACGCUUUAAAUCGUCGGCAAAGAAUAAGAUCGAUAGUUAUAAAAGUAUCGAACAAAGAGUCGUUAAAUAAACAUGUCGGGAUAAAUAUACCAAUAUUUUAACGUAGCAUCGAAAAAUUUUUAUCAGUAUUUGAUAAAAAUAUAUUUAUUGAUAAUGCUUAAUCAUGAAGUCGGCACAUGCCAAAUAUUAAAGACGCUAAAGUAAAUCGCCGUCUAAAAAACGUCGUUUAAAACAUAUUUUGUUGUAGUGUUGAGAUAUGAGUUUAAGUGGGGAGAGAAAUUUGAAAAAUUUCA
RNAcentral lists this long non-coding RNA (399 nucleotides) under Ananas comosus (pineapple). RNAcentral's name for it is "long non-coding RNA (ACOM_LNC000306)". Lineage: Eukaryota; Viridiplantae; Streptophyta; Magnoliopsida; Poales; Bromeliaceae. The record is from RNAcentral.